This 570-nucleotide long non-coding RNA is filed under the name Zalophus californianus (California sea lion). RNAcentral describes it as "lncRNA (ENSZCAG00015016330.1)". The record is from RNAcentral. Lineage: Eukaryota; Metazoa; Chordata; Mammalia; Carnivora; Otariidae.
UGUUUCCAUCUCCAGCCAAUCCCAGGGAAGGCAGGAGGGCACUCCUCCAAUGGGAGCCCGAGAGCGGUCAGUAGCUGUGGAGGCCUGCUAACCCGCUAGCUCUCCAGCCGGCUGGAGGGACGCGUCCAGUGCGUUCACUAGGUCCAGCCGCCGGCCCCUCGAAUCUGCUCGCGCUCGGCAGCGGCGGCGCGGAGGGCAGGAGGUGUCUGGUCAGCGGGUUGCGGAGGAUCGUGCGGGUAGCAAAGGGAGGGCGAGUGCCCCUGCAGCCCCAGACAACAACCAGGUGAGUACCCUGCGGAGCCCAUCACCCAUGCCCACCCCUGUCUCUUGGGAAACGGUUCUGUGCAGGUCUGCAGCUCACGUGAUCGUCUGCGUGCCUGUAAAUCUCCAUCUCUCUGCCGCUCUUCUCCCUCUCCUUCUCCAUCUUUCCGUGUGUCUCAAUAUAUCUGCCUGUCUCCUUCUCUGAGACAUACUAGACAGCCCAGACCUAGAAGGCUGAACCCUGACGCUACCAGUUAAAACUAGCCAUGAGACCUUGAGCCAUCUACAUCACUUAUGCCUCAGUUUCUU